RNAcentral lists this ribosomal RNA (2907 nucleotides) under Escherichia coli APEC IMT5155. RNAcentral describes it as "bacterial LSU rRNA". It matches the Rfam family "Bacterial large subunit ribosomal RNA". The record is from RNAcentral. Lineage: Bacteria; Pseudomonadati; Pseudomonadota; Gammaproteobacteria; Enterobacterales; Enterobacteriaceae.
GGUUAAGCGACUAAGCGUACACGGUGGAUGCCCUGGCAGUCAGAGGCGAUGAAGGACGUGCUAAUCUGCGAUAAGCGUCGGUGAGGUGAUAUGAACCGUUAUAACCGGCGAUUUCCGAAUGGGGAAACCCAGUGUGUUUCGACACACUAUCAUUAACUGAAUCCAUAGGUUAAUGAGGCGAACCGGGGGAACUGAAACAUCUAAGUACCCCGAGGAAAAGAAAUCAACCGAGAUUCCCCCAGUAGCGGCGAGCGAACGGGGAGGAGCCCAGAGCCUGAAUCAGUGUGUGUGUUAGUGGAAGCGUCUGGAAAGGCGUGCGAUACAGGGUGACAGCCCCGUACACAAAAAUGCACAUAUUGUGAGCUCGAUGAGUAGGGCGGGACACGUGGUAUCCUGUCUGAAUAUGGGGGGACCAUCCUCCAAGGCUAAAUACUCCUGACUGACCGAUAGUGAACCAGUACCGUGAGGGAAAGGCGAAAAGAACCCCGGCGAGGGGAGUGAAAAAGAACCUGAAACCGUGUACGUACAAGCAGUGGGAGCCUCUUUAUGGGGUGACUGCGUACCUUUUGUAUAAUGGGUCAGCGACUUAUAUUCUGUAGCAAGGUUAACCGAAUAGGGGAGCCGAAGGGAAACCGAGUCUUAACUGGGCGUUAAGUUGCAGGGUAUAGACCCGAAACCCGGUGAUCUAGCCAUGGGCAGGUUGAAGGUUGGGUAACACUAACUGGAGGACCGAACCGACUAAUGUUGAAAAAUUAGCGGAUGACUUGUGGCUGGGGGUGAAAGGCCAAUCAAACCGGGAGAUAGCUGGUUCUCCCCGAAAGCUAUUUAGGUAGCGCCUCGUGAAUUCAUCUCCGGGGGUAGAGCACUGUUUCGGCAAGGGGGUCAUCCCGACUUACCAACCCGAUGCAAACUGCGAAUACCGGAGAAUGUUAUCACGGGAGACACACGGCGGGUGCUAACGUCCGUCGUGAAGAGGGAAACAACCCAGACCGCCAGCUAAGGUCCCAAAGUCAUGGUUAAGUGGGAAACGAUGUGGGAAGGCCCAGACAGCCAGGAUGUUGGCUUAGAAGCAGCCAUCAUUUAAAGAAAGCGUAAUAGCUCACUGGUCGAGUCGGCCUGCGCGGAAGAUGUAACGGGGCUAAACCAUGCACCGAAGCUGCGGCAGCGACACUAUGUGUUGUUGGGUAGGGGAGCGUUCUGUAAGCCUGUGAAGGUGGCCUGUGAGGGUUGCUGGAGGUAUCAGAAGUGCGAAUGCUGACAUAAGUAACGAUAAAGCGGGUGAAAAGCCCGCUCGCCGGAAGACCAAGGGUUCCUGUCCAACGUUAAUCGGGGCAGGGUGAGUCGACCCCUAAGGCGAGGCCGAAAGGCGUAGUCGAUGGGAAACAGGUUAAUAUUCCUGUACUUGGUGUUACUGCGAAGGGGGGACGGAGAAGGCUAUGUUGGCCGGGCGACGGUUGUCCCGGUUUAAGCGUGUAGGCUGGUUUUCCAGGCAAAUCCGGAAAACCAAGGCUGAGGCGUGAUGACGAGGCACUACGGUGCUGAAGCGACAAAUGCCCUGCUUCCAGGAAAAGCCUCUAAGCAUCAGGUAACAUCAAAUCGUACCCCAAACCGACACAGGUGGUCAGGUAGAGAAUACCAAGGCGCUUGAGAGAACUCGGGUGAAGGAACUAGGCAAAAUGGUGCCGUAACUUCGGGAGAAGGCACGCUGAUAUGUAGGUGAAGCGACUUGCUCGUGGAGCUGAAAUCAGUCGAAGAUACCAGCUGGCUGCAACUGUUUAUUAAAAACACAGCACUGUGCAAACACGAAAGUGGACGUAUACGGUGUGACGCCUGCCCGGUGCCGGAAGGUUAAUUGAUGGGGUUAGCGGUAACGCGAAGCUCUUGAUCGAAGCCCCGGUAAACGGCGGCCGUAACUAUAACGGUCCUAAGGUAGCGAAAUUCCUUGUCGGGUAAGUUCCGACCUGCACGAAUGGCGUAAUGAUGGCCAGGCUGUCUCCACCCGAGACUCAGUGAAAUUGAACUCGCUGUGAAGAUGCAGUGUACCCGCGGCAAGACGGAAAGACCCCGUGAACCUUUACUAUAGCUUGACACUGAACAUUGAGCCUUGAUGUGUAGGAUAGGUGGGAGGCUUUGAAGUGUGGACGCCAGUCUGCAUGGAGCCGACCUUGAAAUACCACCCUUUAAUGUUUGAUGUUCUAACGUUGGCCCGUAAUCCGGGUUGCGGACAGUGUCUGGUGGGUAGUUUGACUGGGGCGGUCUCCUCCUAAAGAGUAACGGAGGAGCACGAAGGUUGGCUAAUCCUGGUCGGACAUCAGGAGGUUAGUGCAAUGGCAUAAGCCAGCUUGACUGCGAGCGUGACGGCGCGAGCAGGUGCGAAAGCAGGUCAUAGUGAUCCGGUGGUUCUGAAUGGAAGGGCCAUCGCUCAACGGAUAAAAGGUACUCCGGGGAUAACAGGCUGAUACCGCCCAAGAGUUCAUAUCGACGGCGGUGUUUGGCACCUCGAUGUCGGCUCAUCACAUCCUGGGGCUGAAGUAGGUCCCAAGGGUAUGGCUGUUCGCCAUUUAAAGUGGUACGCGAGCUGGGUUUAGAACGUCGUGAGACAGUUCGGUCCCUAUCUGCCGUGGGCGCUGGAGAACUGAGGGGGGCUGCUCCUAGUACGAGAGGACCCGGAGUGGACGCAUCACUGGUGUUCGGGUUGUCAUGCCAAUGGCACUGCCCGGUAGCUAAAUGCGGAAGAGAUAAGUGCUGAAAGCAUCUAAGCACGAAACUUGCCCCGAGAUGAGUUCUCCCUGACUCCUUGAGAGUCCUGAAGGAACGUUGAAGACGACGACGUUGAUAGGCCGGGUGUGUAAGCGCAGCGAUGCGUUGAGCUAACCGGUACUAAUGAACCGUGAGGCUUAACCUUAC